UACGUAGGGACCAAGCGUUGUUCGGAUUUACUGGGCGUAAAGGGCGCGUAGGCGGCUUAACAAGUCACUUGUGAAAUCUCCGGGCUUAACUCGGAACGGCCAAGUGAAACUGUCAAGCUAGAGUGCAGAAGGGGCAAUCGGAAUUCUUGGUGUAGCGGUGAAAUGCGUAGAUAUCGAGAGGAACACCAGUGGCGAAGGCGAAUCUCUGGACAAUUCCUGACACUGAUGCUCGAAAGCUAGGGGAGCAAACGGG
This 253-nucleotide ribosomal RNA is filed under the name uncultured prokaryote. RNAcentral describes it as "partial 16S ribosomal RNA". It matches the Rfam family "Bacterial small subunit ribosomal RNA", at positions 524 to 776 of the family's 1533-position model. The record is from RNAcentral.